GGCUACAUAUAGGCUACUUUAUUAUACAUUUGUGAACCAUUUCUUGUGUUGGAAAAACAGGAGACCUGAAGAGCUCUUGAUGCUUUUGGUUUGCCUCAUCCAUUAUGUCAGCAAAGAACAGGAGUGGGCAGGAAACAGGAAUGCGCUGUUGAAAACAUGGCCAACCAACUGGAGCAUCCAUAAGGCUCUUGUGAAGGAAGUUCACAAGCCUUUGUGCUUCAGGAUGGAUGGAAAUAACUCUUUGAUCAACCACCAAAUAGAGCUGAGGUGGCUAUCUUUUGGAGACACCCCCGGCUGGUAGUGCUGCUGAAACUGGUGGAGGCAACAAUGAAGCGGCAACAGAAAGAGUAGGCAGGUGGCAAAGGUUGCUGCUAUUGAAAAAUACUUUGAGAGUGAGUGUGUGCAUGUAUGUAGCUGGGUAUGGUACAUGGUACAAAAAUACAGAAUUUAAAGCACUAGCACAACACUUAACUCACAACCCACAACUACUGACAAUGGAAUUACUCU
Alosa sapidissima (American shad) is the source of this 507-nucleotide long non-coding RNA. RefSeq lists it as uncharacterized. The record is from RefSeq and is a predicted model, not a curated record. NCBI's taxonomy places the organism in Eukaryota, Metazoa, Chordata, Actinopteri, Clupeiformes, Clupeidae. The transcript is spliced from 4 exons.